AGAAUCAACGCUGGCGGCGUGCCUAACACAUGCAAGUCGCACGAGAAAGUGGAGCAAUCCAUGAGUACAGUGGCGCACGGGUGAGUAACACGUGAAUAAUCUACCUCCGAGUGGGGAAUAACUGAGAGAAAUCUUAGCUAAUACCGCAUAAUACCCACGGGUCAAAGCAGCAAUGCGCUUGGAGAGGAGUUCGCGGCCGAUUAGUUAGUUGGCGGGGUAAUGGCCCACCAAGACGAUGAUCGGUA
RNAcentral lists this ribosomal RNA (245 nucleotides) under uncultured bacterium. Its description in RNAcentral is "partial small subunit ribosomal RNA". It matches the Rfam family "Bacterial small subunit ribosomal RNA", at positions 26 to 285 of the family's 1533-position model. The record is from RNAcentral.